GAGCGAAGACGAAAGUCGAGCUC
This 23-nucleotide non-coding RNA is filed under the name synthetic construct. The record is from RNAcentral.